This is a non-coding RNA of Thamnophis sirtalis, 876 nucleotides long. The record is from RefSeq and is a predicted model, not a curated record. Lineage: Eukaryota; Metazoa; Chordata; Lepidosauria; Squamata; Natricidae.
GGCUGGAUAUGUUGCAGAAAUACAGCAGAAAUCUCAUCUGUUGCAUUUUUUCCACGAAAAGUAUAUCGCAGGAAAGUUGCAAUCCUUCUCAUCCAAGAAGUUUCUUCAGAACUUUGGAAAAAUCCCUUUUUGCCAAGCAGUGAUCUCUGAAAGCCUUUGAAGCAUAACUUCCUUAGCUGUUUGCUACUUCAGCUUCCUUUAUCGUGUGUUCCGGGCCGCACCGAAUUGCUUGCAGUUGUGCAGCCUUGGAAAGUGAAGGAAUGGGUCAGCCAAUCAAUCUAAAGAGUGAGAAAAUGAUUCCAUUCAGAAGUAUGACCUCUUGUGGUCAGAAGGAAUCCUUUGACACGAUUGAAGAGCGAUUUAAGAGAGAGGUGUUUGCUUAGCCUUUGUGAUCCAUGCUGAUUUCUAAAAAACAUCCAUGAAUAUCAAUCGAAGCAAAACAGAAGUUCCCAGGGAAGCGGCAGCUUCCAGUGCUCAGAAACCUCCUAAAGCAUCUUUGUUUGGCAUGAUCAAGAGCACCAAGUCCACAUCCCUAAGACGUUAAGAUCACACAUGGAUACAAAUCAAGGUCAGUUUAACUUGAGUGGUUUUUAUUUCAACACUUGCAAGAUCUUUGAAGACGCUACAGCCACACAAACCAAUGCAUAACCCCAGAGAGUAGACUCCUUUCUCCAGGGAGGAACUUUGGUGCAAUUUAUCUUCACUAAAUAAGCUGCUGUGGAAAGAAGGAUUCACGCUCACGGAUACACACACACACACGUACACACAAAGCUUUACACAAAGUGCAGUGUUUGGGAUUCUGUGGUUGAAGCAAAGAACCUAUUGACUAAAAGUGGCGAGGCCCUCUAAUCGAACAGCCUGGAAUGUAAUUUGGAU